CGGUUGUUGGAAUUGGUAUACAAGCUUGUUUACCAAACAAGUGCCUUAACAGGAUUAUGGGUUCGAAUCCCAUACCGCCCA
RNAcentral lists this transfer RNA (81 nucleotides) under Pedobacter insulae. RNAcentral's name for it is "tRNA_Pseudo_ACC". It matches the Rfam family "tRNA". Rfam says of the family: Transfer RNA (tRNA) molecules are approximately 80 nucleotides in length. Their secondary structure includes four short double-helical elements and three loops (D, anti-codon, and T loops). The record is from RNAcentral. Lineage: Bacteria; Pseudomonadati; Bacteroidota; Sphingobacteriia; Sphingobacteriales; Sphingobacteriaceae.